GAUGAACGCUAGCGACAGGCUUAACACAUGCAAGUCGAGGGGCAGCAUAGAAGUAGCAAUACUUUGGUGGCGACCGGCGCACGGGUGAGUAACGCGUAUGCAACCUACCUAUCAGAGGGGAAUAACCCGGCGAAAGUCGGACUAAUACCGCAUAACACAGGGGCACCGCAUGGUGAUAGUUGUUAAAGAAAUUCGCUGAUAGAUGGGCAUGCGUUCCAUUAGGUAGUUGGUGAGGUAACGGCUCACCAAGCCGACGAUGGAUAGGGGAACUGAGAGGUUGGUCCCCCACACUGGUACUGAGACACGGACCAGACUCCUACGGGAGGCAGCAGUGAGGAAUAUUGGUCAAUGGGCGAGAGCCUGAACCAGCCAAGUCGCGUGAAGGAAGAAGGAUCUAUGGUUCGUAAACUUCUUUUGCAGGGGAAUAAAGUGCAGGACGUGUCCUGUUUUGUAUGUACCCUGAGAAUAAGGAUCGGCUAACUCCGUGCCAGCCGCCGCAGUAA
Molecule: ribosomal RNA, 503 nt
Filed under: uncultured bacterium
Lineage: Bacteria
Description: partial 16S ribosomal RNA
Rfam family: Bacterial small subunit ribosomal RNA
Source: RNAcentral